CUUCUGUCGAUUUGUUGGUUUGAGAUAGAAGUAAUGAUUAAUAGGGACAGUUGGGGGCAUUCGUAUUUAAUUGUCAGAGGUGAAAUUCUUGGAUUUAUUAAAGACGAACUUAUGCGAAAGCAUUUGCCACGGAUGUUUUCAUUAAUCAAGAACGAAAGUUAGGGGAUCAAAGACGAUCAGAUACCGUCGUAGUCUUAACCAUAAACUAUGCCGACUAGGGAUCAGGCAAGGAUAUUUUGACUUGUUUGGCACCUUAUGAGAAAUCAAAGUUUUUGGGUUCCGGGGGGAGUAUGGUCGCAAGGCUGAAACUUAAAGGAAUUGACGGAAGGGCACCACCAGGAGUGGAGCCUGCGGCUUAAUUUGACUCAACACGG
This 374-nucleotide ribosomal RNA is filed under the name uncultured fungus. Its description in RNAcentral is "SSU rRNA". It matches the Rfam family "Eukaryotic small subunit ribosomal RNA", at positions 828 to 1208 of the family's 1831-position model. Lineage: Eukaryota; Fungi. The record is from RNAcentral.